Syngnathus acus (greater pipefish) is the source of this 102-nucleotide long non-coding RNA. RefSeq lists it as uncharacterized. The transcript has 3 exons. NCBI's taxonomy places the organism in Eukaryota, Metazoa, Chordata, Actinopteri, Syngnathiformes, Syngnathidae. The record is from RefSeq and is a predicted model, not a curated record.
UUUUGGAACAAAGGAGAGCCGAUCACUCGACUUGUUCAACCAAAUAGGAUUUUAGACCUUAAGUCUCCUCUCUUGUUCUGUGUGGAUGAUCAACCUUGAACG